Juglans microcarpa x Juglans regia is the source of this 194-nucleotide long non-coding RNA. RefSeq lists it as uncharacterized. The record is from RefSeq and is a predicted model, not a curated record. The transcript is spliced from 3 exons. NCBI's taxonomy places the organism in Eukaryota, Viridiplantae, Streptophyta, Magnoliopsida, Fagales, Juglandaceae.
UGAUUUUAAGUGAAGAAUUAUGCAUCAAAACAUUUAUAAAAAAUCAUAAUUUUAUGUGAAAAAACAUAUAUAACGACAUUUUAUGAAAUAUGUGAUUUCACUUGAAAUCUAUAAUAUGAGAAAUAUGCAAGUAUAAUUAUGAUGAAGUAUGAAUGAUAAAAUACGUAACGACUUAUGUUAUGAUAUGAAGAAUG